AGCAGUAGCCACGGUAAUGCGUAGGGUGCGAGCGUUAAUCGGAAUUACUGGGCGUAAAGCGCACGUAGGCGGAUCGAUCAGUCAGGGGUGAAAUCCCAGAGCUCAACUCUGGAACUGCCUUUGAUACUGUCGAUCUGGAGUAUGGAAGAGGUGAGUGGAAUUCCGAGUGUAGAGGUGAAAUUCGUAGAUAUUCGGAGGAACACCAGUGGCGAAGGCGGCUCACUGGUCCAUUACUGACGCUGAGGUGCGAAAGCGUGGGGAGCAAACAGGAUUAGAGACCCGCGUAGUCCCUGUCUCUUAUAC
This 303-nucleotide ribosomal RNA is filed under the name uncultured bacterium. Its description in RNAcentral is "partial 16S ribosomal RNA". It matches the Rfam family "Bacterial small subunit ribosomal RNA", at positions 507 to 807 of the family's 1533-position model. The record is from RNAcentral.